This 2934-nucleotide ribosomal RNA is filed under the name Escherichia coli. Its description in RNAcentral is "23S ribosomal RNA". It matches the Rfam family "Bacterial large subunit ribosomal RNA". Lineage: Bacteria; Pseudomonadati; Pseudomonadota; Gammaproteobacteria; Enterobacterales; Enterobacteriaceae. The record is from RNAcentral.
GGGUUGUGAGGUUAAGCGACUAAGCGUACACGGUGGAUGCCCUGGCAGUCAGAGGCGAUGAAGGACGUGCUAAUCUGCGAUAAGCGUCGGUAAGGUGAUAUGAACCGUUAUAACCGGCGAUUUCCGAAUGGGGAAACCCAGUGUGUUUCGACACACUAUCAUUAACUGAAUCCAUAGGUUAAUGAGGCGAACCGGGGGAACUGAAACAUCUAAGUACCCCGAGGAAAAGAAAUCAACCGAGAUUCCCCCAGUAGCGGCGAGCGAACGGGGAGCAGCCCAGAGCCUGAAUCAGUGUGUGUGUUAGUGGAAGCGUCUGGAAAGGCGCGCGAUACAGGGUGACAGCCCCGUACACAAAAAUGCACAUGCUGUGAGCUCGAUGAGUAGGGCGGGACACGUGGUAUCCUGUCUGAAUAUGGGGGGACCAUCCUCCAAGGCUAAAUACUCCUGACUGACCGAUAGUGAACCAGUACCGUGAGGGAAAGGCGAAAAGAACCCCGGCGAGGGGAGUGAAAAAGAACCUGAAACCGUGUACGUACAAGCAGUGGAAGCACAGAGCAAUCUGUGUGACUGCGUACCUUUUGUAUAAUGGGUCAGCGACUUAUAUUCUGUAGCAAGGUUAACCGAAUAGGGGAGCCGAAGGGAAACCGAGUCUUAACUGGGCGUUAAGUUGCAGGGUAUAGACCCGAAACCCGGUGAUCUAGCCAUGGGCAGGUUGAAGGUUGGGUAACACUAACUGGAGGACCGAACCGACUAAUGUUGAAAAAUUAGCGGAUGACUUGUGGCUGGGGGUGAAAGGCCAAUCAAACCGGGAGAUAGCUGGUUCUCCCCGAAAGCUAUUUAGGUAGCGCCUCGUGAAUUCAUCUCCGGGGGUAGAGCACUGUUUCGGCAAGGGGGUCAUCCCGACUUACCAACCCGAUGCAAACUGCGAAUACCGGAGAAUGUUAUCACGGGAGACACACGGCGGGUGCUAACGUCCGUCGUGAAGAGGGAAACAACCCAGACCGCCAGCUAAGGUCCCAAAGUCAUGGUUAAGUGGGAAACGAUGUGGGAAGGCCCAGACAGCCAGGAUGUUGGCUUAGAAGCAGCCAUCAUUUAAAGAAAGCGUAAUAGCUCACUGGUCGAGUCGGCCUGCGCGGAAGAUGUAACGGGGCUAAACCAUGCACCGAAGCUGCGGCAGCGACGCUUAUGCGUUGUUGGGUAGGGGAGCGUUCUGUAAGCCUGCGAAGGUGUGCUGUGAGGCAUGCUGGAGGUAUCAGAAGUGCGAAUGCUGACAUAAGUAACGAUAAAGCGGGUGAAAAGCCCGCUCGCCGGAAGACCAAGGGUUCCUGUCCAACGUUAAUCGGGGCAGGGUGAGUCGACCCCUAAGGCGAGGCCGAAAGGCGUAGUCGAUGGGAAACAGGUUAAUAUUCCUGUACUUGGUGUUACUGCGAAGGGGGGACGGAGAAGGCUAUGUUGGCCGGGCGACGGUUGUCCCGGUUUAAGCGUGUAGGCUGGUUUUCCAGGCAAAUCCGGAAAAUCAAGGCUGAGGCGUGAUGACGAGGCACUACGGUGCUGAAGCAACAAAUGCCCUGCUUCCAGGAAAAGCCUCUAAGCAUCAGGUAACAUCAAAUCGUACCCCAAACCGACACAGGUGGUCAGGUAGAGAAUACCAAGGCGCUUGAGAGAACUCGGGUGAAGGAACUAGGCAAAAUGGUGCCGUAACUUCGGGAGAAGGCACGCUGAUAUGUAGGUGAAGUCCCUCGCGGAUGGAGCUGAAAUCAGUCGAAGAUACCAGCUGGCUGCAACUGUUUAUUAAAAACACAGCACUGUGCAAACACGAAAGUGGACGUAUACGGUGUGACGCCUGCCCGGUGCCGGAAGGUUAAUUGAUGGGGUUAGCGGUAACGCGAAGCUCUUGAUCGAAGCCCCGGUAAACGGCGGCCGUAACUAUAACGGUCCUAAGGUAGCGAAAUUCCUUGUCGGGUAAGUUCCGACCUGCACGAAUGGCGUAAUGAUGGCCAGGCUGUCUCCACCCGAGACUCAGUGAAAUUGAACUCGCUGUGAAGAUGCAGUGUACCCGCGGCAAGACGGAAAGACCCCGUGAACCUUUACUAUAGCUUGACACUGAACAUUGAGCCUUGAUGUGUAGGAUAGGUGGGAGGCUUAGAAGUGUGGACGCCAGUCUGCAUGGAGCCGACCUUGAAAUACCACCCUUUAAUGUUUGAUGUUCUAACGUUGACCCGUAAUCCGGGUUGCGGACAGUGUCUGGUGGGUAGUUUGACUGGGGCGGUCUCCUCCUAAAGAGUAACGGAGGAGCACGAAGGUUGGCUAAUCCUGGUCGGACAUCAGGAGGUUAGUGCAAUGGCAUAAGCCAGCUUGACUGCGAGCGUGACGGCGCGAGCAGGUGCGAAAGCAGGUCAUAGUGAUCCGGUGGUUCUGAAUGGAAGGGCCAUCGCUCAACGGAUAAAAGGUACUCCGGGGAUAACAGGCUGAUACCGCCCAAGAGUUCAUAUCGACGGCGGUGUUUGGCACCUCGAUGUCGGCUCAUCACAUCCUGGGGCUGAAGUAGGUCCCAAGGGUAUGGCUGUUCGCCAUUUAAAGUGGUACGCGAGCUGGGUUUAGAACGUCGUGAGACAGUUCGGUCCCUAUCUGCCGUGGGCGCUGGAGAACUGAGGGGGGCUGCUCCUAGUACGAGAGGACCGGAGUGGACGCAUCACUGGUGUUCGGGUUGUCAUGCCAAUGGCACUGCCCGGUAGCUAAAUGCGGAAGAGAUAAGUGCUGAAAGCAUCUAAGCACGAAACUUGCCCCGAGAUGAGUUCUCCCUGACUCCUUGAGAGUCCUGAAGGAACGUUGAAGACGACGACGUUGAUAGGCCGGGUGUGUAAGCGCAGCGAUGCGUUGAGCUAACCGGUACUAAUGAACCGUGAGGCUUAACCUUACAACGCCGAAGCUGUU